RNAcentral lists this ribosomal RNA (497 nucleotides) under uncultured bacterium. RNAcentral describes it as "partial 16S ribosomal RNA". It matches the Rfam family "Bacterial small subunit ribosomal RNA", at positions 28 to 507 of the family's 1533-position model. The record is from RNAcentral.
GAUGAACGCUGGCGGCGUGCCUAAUACAUGCAAGUCGAGCGAACGGACGAGAAGCUUGAUUUUCUGAUGUUAGCGGCGGACGGGUGAGUAACACGUGGAUAACCUACCUAUAAGACUGGGAUAACUUCGGGAAACCGGAGCUAAUACCGGAUAAUAUUUUGAACCGCAUGGUUCAAAAGUGAAAGACGGUCUUGCUGUCACUUAUAGAUGGAUCCGCGCUGCAUUAGCUAGUUGGUAAGGUAACGGCUUACCAAGGCAACGAUGCAUAGCCGACCUGAGAGGGUGAUCGGCCACACUGGAACUGAGACACGGUCCAGACUCCUACGGGAGGCAGCAGUAGGGAAUCUUCCGCAAUGGGCGAAAGCCUGACGGAGCAACGCCGCGUGAGUGAUGAAGGUCUUCGGAUCGUAAAACUCUGUUAUUAGGGAAGAACAUAUGUGUAAGUAACUGUGCACAUCUUGACGGUACCUAAUCAGAAAGCCACGGCUAACUACGUG